AGUAGGUGAGCUUCUCCAUCCCUGUCUGUCUAGAUGCAGAGAACCCAAAGCCCUGCAGGAUGGCAAAGCUGCAACAUGGAAGUCACCCGGAUCACCACGUAAAGGAAAUCUCUCCAACCAGGAACAAACACCUGCCUUGCAAUAUUAGCACGCAUAGGCUUGUAUUCAGGAACAAUUUUACAAACUCCAGAAAAGGCAGCAGGAGAUCCAGAAUCUCUGUGUGCCUUCUCUUCAUCCUACCCCCAGAAAAAUGGCCAGUCCAGCCCAGCACCUGCUGCAGCCUCAAUAUUAAGGGACUGCUUGUCCCAUCUCUUGCCCAGGGGAAGUCGGAGAGAAAGCUCGCCCGUGUGCAUGUUUGAUAUAGGCUGUGUGUGUAGGCAGGGAGUGGGCUAGAGGACCCUGGACACCUUGGCCAGCCUCCUAGGCAGUGAGUUAGAGGAAAGGGGACUAGGUCUUGCACCUCUGCCAUACCUCGGGAUCCAGACAGACCAGGCAGCGUGUUAAUAUUGGUGUUCUGCAUGGUGGACCCAAGCUAAAGUGUUGCCUGCAGCCAAGGGCCUGGGCACGGACCAUCUUCCAUCAGCCCAGGGCCCAGGCACAGGGCCACCAGCUGGGGAUGGUGGACACCGUGUCCCCAUUCCCAGCCCGGCUCUAGAAGGCACUGUUUUGUGGACUGCGACCCCUGGAGGGUGGGCAGGGCCUGGACAGGCACAGGCGGCGCUGGGUCUCCAGUCGGCAGAAGCGGUUCUGGUUGGACACCCGGGUGGCCAUGCCCAGCCCACAGGUGGUCGAGCAGGGUCCCCAGGCCGUGCUCCAUUCUGGGCAGGGGACACCAGGGGGCAGGGAAGAGACAAGGCCAGAAAACUGGGGUCCUUGGGCUGGAAGGGGCUGGGUCCCCAGUCCCCCUCCUUGGCCGCACACCCACUCAGGGCAGCACUUGCCCAGGACCUCGACCCUCCUGGGGUGGGGGCAGUCCCAGCUGGGCAGCCGCACAUCCUCGCUGCACAGCGGCACGCAGGUGAAGCCGCCGUCCUCGCAGCGGCAGCGGAUGCUGCAGUGGGGCUGGAAGGUCUCCCCUUCCCGAUACAGGCGGCCGUUCACCUCACAGCUGCUGUCGUCCUCUGCCAAGACAAGGUCUCACUAUGUUGCCCUGGCUGGUCUGUAACUCCUGGCCUCAAGCAGUCCUCUUAUCUCAGCUUUCCAAAGUGCUGGGAUUACAGGAGAACUGCUGGAACCCAGGAGGCAGAGGUUGCAGUGAGCCGAAUCCGUGUCAUUGCACUCCAGCCCAGGCCAACAACAGCAAGAAUUCGUAUUAAAAAAAAGGCUGGUGAGAGGGGCGUGGAGGUUGAGGGGUGUGGUAAACUGUAGGAGAUAACGAUUUUAUGUUGUGUGUGUGCUAUGGUUUGGAUGUGGUUUGUCUCCUCCAAAAUGCAUGUAGAAACUUGGUCCCCAAUGUAAUGGUAUUGGGAGGUGGGGCCUUUAAGAGGGGAUUAGGUCAUUAGGAGGGAUUAAUGCCUUUCUCACAGGAGUGGGUUAAUUCUCACAGAAGUGGGUGAGUUAUUGAGAGCAGUUCAUUACAAAAGUGAGUUUGGCUUCCUCGGCUUUCUCUUGCUUCCUCGGCUUUCUCUUGCUUCCUCUCACCCUACGAUGCAUUCUGCUGUGUUACAACACAGCACGAGGCCCUCACCAGAAGCUGACCAGAUCCAGCCACCCUGUCUUGGACUUCCCAGCCUCCAGAACUGUAAAAAACAAACCCCUUUUCUUUGUCAAUUACCCAGUCCCAUGGGUUCUAUGACAGCAACAGAAAGUGGACAAAUUGUGUAACAUGCACAUGUCCAGGAGGGUGUGUGAGAGGUAAUCCUGUUGUUACGGUUGUUCUGUAGGGUGACCACAAUUGGGAAUUUCCCUGGGACUGUUUUGGUUUUAGCACUGAAAACUCUGUAUUUCAAUAAACUACUCAGACCUGGUAAACCAGGAUGGUUGGUC
This 1986-nucleotide long non-coding RNA is filed under the name Homo sapiens (human). RNAcentral describes it as "non-protein coding lnc-ADA-3:5". Lineage: Eukaryota; Metazoa; Chordata; Mammalia; Primates; Hominidae. The record is from RNAcentral.